GACGAACGCUGGCGCGUUCCUAAUACAUUGAAGGAGAACGCACAGUUUAUACCGUAGCUUGCUACACCAUAGACUGUGAGUUGCGAACGGGUGAGUAACGCGUAGGUAACCUGCCUGGUAGCGGGGGAUAACUAUUGGAAACGAUAGCUAAUACCGUAUAAUAUUAAUUAUUGCAUUAUAAUUAAUUGAAAGGUGCAAUUGCACCACUACCAGCUGGACCUGCGUUGUAUUAGCUAGUAGGUGAGGUAACGGCUCACCUAGGCGACGAUACAUAGCCGACCUGAGAGGGUGAUCGGCCACACUGGGACUGAGACACGGCCCAGAAUCCUACGGGAGGCAGCAGUAGGGAAUCUUCGGCAAUGGACGAAAGUCUGACCGAGCAACGCCGCGUGAGUGAAGAAGGUUUUCGGAUCGUAAAGCUCUGUUGUAAGAGAAGAACGGGUGUGAGAGUGGAAAGUUCACACUGUGACGGUAUCUUACCAGAAAGGGACGGCUAACUACGUG
Molecule: ribosomal RNA, 504 nt
Filed under: uncultured bacterium
Lineage: Bacteria
Description: partial 16S ribosomal RNA
Rfam family: Bacterial small subunit ribosomal RNA
Source: RNAcentral